Molecule: ribosomal RNA, 485 nt
Filed under: uncultured bacterium
Lineage: Bacteria
Description: partial 16S ribosomal RNA
Rfam family: Bacterial small subunit ribosomal RNA
Source: RNAcentral
AUUGAACGCUGGCGGCAGGCUUAACACAUGCAAGUCGAGCGGGGGAAGGUAGCUUGCUACCGGACCUAGCGGCGGACGGGUGAGUAAUGCUUAGGAAUCUGCCUAUUAGUGGGGGACAACAUCUCGAAAGGGAUGCUAAUACCGCAUACGUCCUACGGGAGAAAGCAGGGGAUCUUCGGACCUUGCGCUAAUAGAUGAGCCUAAGUCGGAUUAGCUAGUUGGUGGGGUAAAGGCCUACCAAGGCGACGAUCUGUAGCGGGUCUGAGAGGAUGAUCCGCCACACUGGGACUGAGACACGGCCCAGACUCCUACGGGAGGCAGCAGUGGGGAAUAUUGGACAAUGGGGGGAACCCUGAUCCAGCCAUGCCGCGUGUGUGAAGAAGGCCUUAGGGUUGUAAAGCACGUUAAGCGAGGAGGAGGCUACUUUAGUUAAUACCUAGAGAUAGUGGACGUUACUCGCAGAAUAAGCACCGGCUAACUCUGUG